RNAcentral lists this ribosomal RNA (496 nucleotides) under uncultured bacterium. RNAcentral describes it as "partial 16S ribosomal RNA". It matches the Rfam family "Bacterial small subunit ribosomal RNA", at positions 29 to 507 of the family's 1533-position model. The record is from RNAcentral.
AUGGACGCUGGCGGCGUGCCUAAUACAUGCACGUCGCGCGCACGGACGAGAAGCUUGCUUCUCUGAUGUUAGCGGCGGACGGGUGAGUAACACGUGGAUAACCUACCUAUAAGACUGGGAUAACUUCGGGAAACCGUAGCUAAUACCGGAUAAUAUUUUGAACCGCAUGGUUCAAAAGUGAAAGACGGUCUUGCUGUCACUUAUAGAUGGAUCCGCGCUGCAUUAGCUAGUUGGUAAGGCAACGGCUUACCAAGGCAACGAUGCAUAGCCGACCUGAGAGGGUGAUCGGCCACACUGGAACUGAGACACGGUCCAGACUCCUACGGGAGGCAGCAGUAGGGAAUCUUCCGCAAUGGGCGAAAGCCUGACGGAGCAACGCCGCGUGAGUGAUGAAGGUCUUCGGAUCGUAAAACUCUGUUAUUAGGGAAGAACAUAUGUGUAAGUAACUGUGCACAUCUUGACGGUACCUAAUCAGAAAGCCACGGCUAACUACGUG